UCCUAGCCCUAAACGAUGCGCACUAGGUGGAGGAGGCUCUGACGGUCAUCCCCGCCGCAGCGAAAGCGUUAAGUGCGCCGCCUGGGGAGUACGGUCGCAAGGCUAAAACUCAAAGGAAUUGACGGGGGCUCACACAAGCGGUGGAGCAUGUGGCUCAAUUCGAGGCAACGCGAAGAACCUUAUCCUGGGCUUGACAUGCAGGUAGUAGAAAGCCGAAAGGCCGACGAUAGGUUCAGUCCUAAGCCUGCACAGGUGCUGCAUGGCUGUCGUCAGCUCGUGCUGUGAAGUGUCGGGUUAAGU
RNAcentral lists this ribosomal RNA (300 nucleotides) under uncultured bacterium. RNAcentral describes it as "bacterial SSU rRNA". It matches the Rfam family "Bacterial small subunit ribosomal RNA", at positions 794 to 1085 of the family's 1533-position model. The record is from RNAcentral.